ACCUGACUGGCUCAGUCAGCAGAGCAUGAGACUCUUAAUCUCGGGGUCAUGAGUCCAAGCCCCAUGCUGGGUG
This 73-nucleotide transfer RNA is filed under the name Ailuropoda melanoleuca (giant panda). It matches the Rfam family "tRNA". Rfam says of the family: Transfer RNA (tRNA) molecules are approximately 80 nucleotides in length. Their secondary structure includes four short double-helical elements and three loops (D, anti-codon, and T loops). Lineage: Eukaryota; Metazoa; Chordata; Mammalia; Carnivora; Ursidae. The record is from Rfam by way of RNAcentral.